Molecule: ribosomal RNA, 800 nt
Filed under: uncultured bacterium
Lineage: Bacteria
Description: bacterial SSU rRNA
Rfam family: Bacterial small subunit ribosomal RNA
Source: RNAcentral
AACGAACGCUGGCUUGCGUGGCUAAGGCAUGCAAGUCGAACGGACUCCCGGAUGAGUAAUCUGAAGGGAAGUUAGUGGCGAACGGGUGAGGAAUGCAUGGAUAACGUACCCUGGACUCGGGGAUAGCGGCGGACUUCGGUCCUUUGCGAAAGUGCCGGUAAUACCCGAUGAUCCCGCUCCGUAGCAUUGUGGAGCGGGCAAAGUUCCGGCGGUCCAGGAGCGGUCCAUGCCCUAUCAGCUUGUUGGUGGGGUAAAAGCCUACCAAAGCAACGACGGGUAUCGGGUGUGAGAGCAUGACCCGACACAUCGGAACUGAGACACUGUCCGGACACCUACGGGUGGCUGCAGCAACGAAUAUUCCGCAAUGGGCGAAAGCCUGACGGAGCGACACCGCGUGCAGGAUGAAGUCCUUCGGGAUGUAAACUGCUGUCAGGGGUGAGGAAGAAAGUGACCAACCCCAGAGGAAGCAUCGGCUAACUCCGUGCCAGCAGCCGCGGUAAUACGGAGGAUGCAAGCGUUGUUCGGAAUCACUGGGCUUAAAGCGCAUGUAGGCGGAGCAGUGUGUGUCUUGUGAAAGCCCUCGGCUCAACCGAGGAAUUGCUUGGCAAACUGCUGCUCUUGAGGCAGGUAGAGGCGACUGGAACCUUUGGUGGAGAGGUGAAAUUCGUAGAUAUCAAAGGGAACGCCGGUGGCGAAAGCGGGUCGCUGGGCCUGUCCUGACGCUGAGAUGCGAAAGCGUAGGGAGCGAACGGGAUUAGAUACCCCGGUAGUCUACGCCGUAAACGAUGCGCACUAGGUAC